CUCUACCAGGAGAAGAUGGGGUGUCCCUAUCUCUCCCUUUGCAAUGCUUCCUGAUGCCUUGGGAGAGCAGUUUGUGAAAUUCUGCAAUUCCAUAAAGUUGGUGCACUGAAUCCUGUGUCAUUAUUGCCCUUGCCCAAUGAGGGAGAAGCUCAUGAGUGUGAUCCAGACUAAGUCACUCCAAAGCCUCACCACGAUCUGUAGGAAACAGAACUAGAAUCGGGUAAAGUAUUCUAUUAUACACAGACGGCUCUAGUCACAUGACGACAGGAGGAAAGCGAGUGAUUGGAUAUGCUCUGUGUGAUGAUGUGGAAGCAUUUAAAGCUGGCCCAUUGCCGCAUCAAUUUCAGCUCAGGGAGUUGCGCUUGUCGGUUGCCAGCAGGGGAGGAUGCUACAAUGUACACAGACUCUCUCUAUGCGUUAGGAGUGGUUCAUGAUUUUGGGACUCUGUGGUCACAAAGGGGCAUGCUAACUGCGACAGGAACACCAAUUAAACAUGGACACGAAGUAGAGGCAUUACUAGAAGUGUGUCUAUUACCCAGUAGACUAGCUGUGGUAAAAUGUGAAGCUCACACCAGUCGUACUGAUAAGAUAGCAGUAUGGAAUUUCCGAGCAGAUGAGGCGGCGAAAGCGGAGCCACAAUCUAAAACAGAAGAUGCGACCAAACUGCAUGUAAAUCGUGUAAAUACUAAAGCUGGGAUUCUCAGCAAACUCCCACCAAAUAGCUACCACCACCAGACGGAUCCUUUACAUCAUUGCAGAUGGACUUUAUAUGGCCACUUCCUCGAAGUAGGGUGUAUUCACAGGUCAAAUUAACACACCCCAGGAGAUAACCACAAGCACAGCCUGAGUCUGGGGGACUGAGUGUACAUCAAGGUCCACCAAGCCGGAGUGUUCGGACAACGCUGGUCCGGAGCCCCACACAGUACUACUCACCACGCCUACAGCAGUGAAAACUACAACCUCUCCUCAGUGGGUCCAUAUUUCUCAUGUGAAACGAGAUCCGGCUGACUAAGGGGACCUGAGCCCUAGGACCAUGCCUCAGGACUACCUGACAUGAUGACUCCUUGCUGUCCCCAGUCCACCUGGCUGUGCUGCUGCUCCAGUUUCAACUGUUCUGCCUUAUUAUUAUACGACCAUGCUGGUCAUUUAUGAACAUUUGAACAUCUUGGCCAUGUUCUGUUAUAAUCUCCACCCGGCACAGCCAGAAGAGGACUGGCCACCCCACAUAGCCUGGUUCCUCUCUAGGUUUCUUCCUAGGUUUUGGCCUUUCUAGGGAGUUUUUCCUAGCCACCGUGCUUCUACACCUGCAUUGCUUGCUGUUUGGGGUUUUAGGCUGGGAUUCUGUACAGCACUUUGCGAUAUCAGCUGAUGUACGAAAAUAAAUAAAAUACAUUUGAUUUGAUUUGAUCUCUUCGAUGAGAGCCCAAUGGCCCAAGUACUCCACCAGUGUUUCGUCAGAUCAAAUGGGCAUACAUUUGUGCAUCUCCAGUGAGAACAGAACCUGCCUGAACUCUUCCCUUAGUGCAUUUUCCGGCUGGUGCCCACAUCACAUUCAUUGUUUUUUUCCUUACUAAUAAAUACUGUGUGUAUUCAUAUCAAAGUCAGUACCUUAUUACCUUAUCAUAAUACUGUUUCUGUAUAUCAUGUUAUGUAAUUUCUACUAUAGCAGACUGUAUUUAUGUAUGGGGCAUAAUGUAUUCUGUGUAUAUUCCUUUAUAACCGUGGACAAGCAAGGUACUGAUUUCAUAACCUUGAUUGUGUUAUAUUUAAUUUUGAUAAUGUGCUUGCAUUCAUCUAUUAGUUCUGUGAAACGAUGUUAACACUAAUGGCGUCAAAGAAGUAUUAUCUGGUGUUGUAUUUGGAAGCUGCCCUGGCCUUAUCAUGACCAUUGCAUUAGCCUGCAUUUGGCCUGUAUAGCUCUGCCCUGCCCCCUUGUGGAGCCCUUGUGGAGAUCAUCAGUUAUUAUGUUACAGGUAAUAUGUUUUUAUUGCUAUAUCCUAAUGUUGUAUUCGAAUUACUAAUCAUUCCUCUUUAUUCUGUACUUUCAGAAACCACACACACACAGUAUUUGCCAAUAUCAGAACUGGAACUGGACAUAUUUUGUGCUGAAGAUUGAGGACAGCUUUUGUAUGCUAGAAAUAUACUGUUUGGAGAGGGAGUAGGGAGG
Molecule: long non-coding RNA, 2167 nt
Organism: Oncorhynchus tshawytscha (Chinook salmon)
Lineage: Eukaryota; Metazoa; Chordata; Actinopteri; Salmoniformes; Salmonidae
Source: Ensembl